CUCUAUUGCCCAGGCUGGCGUGCAACAGUGCGAUUUCGGCUCACUCAACCUCUGCUGCCCGGGUUCAAGCGAUUCUCCUGCCCCGAGUAGCUAGGAUUACAGGCGCCUGCCACCGCGCCCAGCUCAUUUUUGUAUUUUUAGUAGAGAUGGGGUUUCACCAUCUUAGCCAGGCUGGUCUUGAACUCGUGACCUCGUGAUCCACCCACCUCGGCCUCUCAAAGUGUUGGGAUUACAGGCGUGAGCCUCCGCGCCCAGCCCAUGUGCACCAUUUUUAAGUGUACAGUUCAGUGGUAUUACACUGAUACACAGCCAUCAUCCCAAACUGAAAUUCUGUACCCAUUAAACAACAACUUGAAACAACAACUCUCUAGCCCAUCUCCUCAGGCCCUGCAAUCACCAGUCUACUUUUUGUCUCUGUGAAUUUUAUUCCUCUCAGGUACCUUAUAUAAGUGAUAUCACACAGUAUCUGCCCUUUCAAAAACAAUUUACAUUUAAAUGUGUUUUCAACUGUAAACAUUUACCAAGUAUUGUCACUUCCUCCCCUGUGAGGCAGGCAGGGCAGAAACUAUUGGUCUGGGUUUGGAGGCCCAGGGAGCUGAGGUUCAGGAAGGUUCAGAGAUCUGUCCAAGCCUGUGGCACAUAAGAUACCCGGCCUAUCUGACACCCACACACUCCUCAGAGGCUGGUACAGAAUCUGAAUGAAUCUGGAUAGGCGGAGGGCCAUGACCACAACUCUCAGCCCACACCAGGUAACCUUCCUGUACCCACAGGCAUGGUUUGAACACGUCACUGCAGAUUGGCAAUCAGAACAGGAAAUAAUCAAUGCAGUAGGGUGAAGCUAAAGGAAAAGGAUUCAACCUAAGGACAUUCAGCCAGAGGCCAGGAUGUAUCUAUCUACAGUUGGGUGCAGAGAUGGCUAGAAAGAAGACCUUAGUUUUUAAUUACUCUUUAUCUAUGGCCAUGACUAAAUGUUUGGCUAAUCAGGGAGACGACUCAGGGAGGUCAAAGUCAUUGCCAGCAUGAAUUAUUAAUCUGCACACUUGUUUGGAGUCCACUGGAAUAGGCAGCAUAGUCAAGUCACAGUGGAAGGUGCUACAUGAUUAAUCUUCUUCCUGCCUGAGGCCCCCAGCUCUUGAGUGGGCAUUCUUCAUACUGAACAUCAGGGGAAAGAUCUUGUUUUCCACACUCAGGUCAAAAGGUUUGCUCACUUUUUUUUUCCUGCAUAAUAAUGGUUGAUACUAAUGACCUAUUUGCAAACUGCCAAGAGACAGUAGGGUUUCUUCACGUUUGUUUGUUUUCUGGAAUCAGAAAUGGUUCAAACUGUGCAUUACCUUCUAAAUCAAUGUACUGCAGAAAGCUCUUAGUGAACCUGAAGAAAACGAGUGAUAUGCAUUUUGUUCUCAUCAAUACUUACUAAAAUAAUUUAUUAGGUGUUUAAAUUGUUAGAUGAGACAGAGUUAUCAGACUGGAAUAAAACUUAGUUUUCCUCUGCUAUCCUGCUUAGGAGAAAAGAGGGGCUCAAAUGAGGAUUGGGCUAGCUAUAGAAAUAAAGCUAUCCUUUCUUUGCACUAAGUGUAACGUGAAUACAUUUUCUGCCCUGUUACAGGAUUAAUAAUUACUGAGUGCCUACUACAUACUGGGUCCUUUCAUACAUAUCCUCAUUUCAUCAUCAAAAUAACCCCAUGUAGGAAACACUAUUAUUUUCCCAUUUUUAGAUUAGGAAACUUAGGCAUAGACAGGUUAAGGUUGAGCAGCAUUCCCAAGGUUCCACAGGUAGCAAGUGUCUGAAUCCUUACAGGAACUUACAGACUAAAAGAGCACAGAACCCAUAAAAAGGAGACACUUACAAUGCAGUGUACUAAAUGCAAGGACAGAAAUGAGUGCACGGAGUUGGGGACAUAAAGAGAGGCUAAAUUUCACCUGGGAAAGCUUUCUGGAGAAGAUUAUGUACAUGACUUAUUUUUUGAAAGGUAUUAUUAAUAUACAACAAAAUGCACAGAUGUUAAGUAUUCAGUUUCAUAAGUUUCAACAACUGCAUAUGUUUGUGUAGCCACCAUCAAAAACAAGGUUUAAAACACUUCCAUCACCCCCAGAAAGUUCCGGCAGCUGAGGCUGCAACAUUGGGACCCAUCCUGGACAGGAUACAUCCCCUAGCAGGGUGCACUCAGACCCACACCCCCACCACACACACCCCUGCCACACACACACACACAC
RNAcentral lists this long non-coding RNA (2214 nucleotides) under Homo sapiens (human). RNAcentral describes it as "HSALNT0193355". Lineage: Eukaryota; Metazoa; Chordata; Mammalia; Primates; Hominidae. The record is from RNAcentral.